Molecule: long non-coding RNA, 448 nt
Filed under: Musa acuminata (dwarf banana)
Lineage: Eukaryota; Viridiplantae; Streptophyta; Magnoliopsida; Zingiberales; Musaceae
Description: long non-coding RNA (MACU_LNC011401)
Source: RNAcentral
GUUAUUUGCUCAAAGUUGAAGUACAGUAUUAUAAGUGAUCCUGAUUCCAGAUUCUCCUAGAAUCAUGCUGAUUGAUUACUCAAAAAGACAACUCCCAAGGCAUUGUAUAGUUACCCGUUGAUUAUUAGAAGACCAAACAAACUUACCUUUUGUAACACUUAAGCGAACCAUUUGGAUGAGAUUUAGCUGAAGAAGAUGAGUGUUGGUGCCAUAAUAAGGCUGCGUCUUUACCACCUGGUUGACCAGGUUUUUACCCUUGGAAACAGCCCUUCUACUUGGAGAGGUGAGGCUGCAUAUGCUGAGCUCUCUAGAUCUGGCAUUGCAGGAGUCCUGUGCAUUGCUUGCUCAUUUAUUUUUUAAGAAAACAUCUCAAACUAGUAUAUGAUUGCAAUUGAAAAAUGCAUUUGAAAUUUGGUGCUGGACAUAUUAAACAAUGGUCUGGUGGUGG